Molecule: ribosomal RNA, 496 nt
Filed under: uncultured bacterium
Lineage: Bacteria
Description: partial 16S ribosomal RNA
Rfam family: Bacterial small subunit ribosomal RNA
Source: RNAcentral
GAUGAACGCUGGCGGCGUGCCUAAUACAUGCAAGUCGAGCGAACAGACGAGGAGCUUGCUCCUCUGACGUUAGCGGCGGACGGGUGAGUAACACGUGGAUAACCUACCUAUAAGACUGGGAUAACUUCGGGAAACCGGAGCUAAUACCGGAUAACAUGUUGAACCGCAUGGUUCAACAGUGAAAGACGGUCUUGCUGUCACUUAUAGAUGGAUCCGCGCCGCAUUAGCUAGUUGGUAAGGUAACGGCUUACCAAGGCAACGAUGCGUAGCCGACCUGAGAGGGUGAUCGGCCACACUGGAACUGAGACACGGUCCAGACUCCUACGGGAGGCAGCAGUAGGGAAUCUUCCGCAAUGGGCGAAAGCCUGACGGAGCAACGCCGCGUGAGUGAAGAAGGUCUUCGGAUCGUAAAACUCUGUUAUUAGGGAAGAAUAAAUGUGUAAGUAACUAUGCACGUCUUGACGGUACCUAAUCAGAAAGCCACGGCUAACUACGU